GGGGUUGUGGCUCAGUGGUAGAGCGCUUGCCUAGCACGCGGGAGGCACUGGGUUCGAUCCCCAGCACCACA
This 71-nucleotide transfer RNA is filed under the name Marmota monax (woodchuck). RNAcentral describes it as "tRNA.Ala". It matches the Rfam family "tRNA". From Rfam's summary of the family: Transfer RNA (tRNA) molecules are approximately 80 nucleotides in length. Their secondary structure includes four short double-helical elements and three loops (D, anti-codon, and T loops). Further hydrogen bonds mediate the characteristic L-shaped molecular structure. tRNAs have two regions of fundamental functional importance: the anti-codon, which is responsible for specific mRNA codon recognition, and the 3' end, to which the tRNAs corresponding amino acid is attached (by aminoacyl-tRNA synthetases). tRNAs cope with the degeneracy of the genetic code in two manners: having more than one tRNA (with a specific anti-codon) for a particular amino acid; and 'wobble' base-pairing, i.e. permitting non-standard base-pairing at the 3rd anti-codon position. Lineage: Eukaryota; Metazoa; Chordata; Mammalia; Rodentia; Sciuridae. The record is from RNAcentral.